UCAUAGUAGCCUGAGAGGCACACAGGAUUGUGCACACUAGAAUCAUCUCAUCAUUUGAAUUGGGAGCUGCCUAGUCCUUUGAGUCUGUCAUUCCAAAGACCCUGCUCUUCUAGUGUUUCACAUUUUAAAGUACCUGCUUUUCACAUUAUUCUUUUCCUUUCUUUAGGCAAA
RNAcentral lists this long non-coding RNA (171 nucleotides) under Jaculus jaculus (lesser Egyptian jerboa). RNAcentral describes it as "ST7 overlapping transcript 4 conserved region 2 (ENSJJAG00000007544.1)". It matches the Rfam family "ST7 overlapping transcript 4 conserved region 2". The record is from RNAcentral. Lineage: Eukaryota; Metazoa; Chordata; Mammalia; Rodentia; Dipodidae.